Non-coding RNA from Chlorocebus sabaeus (green monkey), 2491 nucleotides. Lineage: Eukaryota; Metazoa; Chordata; Mammalia; Primates; Cercopithecidae. The record is from RefSeq and is a predicted model, not a curated record.
CAGCCUAGACGUCAAGAGCAAAACUCCAACUCGAAAAAAAAAAAAGAAAGAAAAAAAAUCCCUUAAAUCUACUCUAUGCCUUUUAACCUCAGGGACUUCGCUAUGCUGUUCCUCACCCUGAACUGAGCUAUUCCUCAUUUCUCCAUCUGGUUAACUCAUCCCACCCACGAGGUUUCUCCUUAAGUAUCAUCUCUUUAAGGAAGAUUUUACCUUUUUAAUGUAACUAUUAACACAUAAUUCAGGUACCAUAUGAUUUGCCCACUGAAAGUGAACAAAUCAAUGGUUUCAGUGCAUUCACAGAGCUCAGCAACCACCAUCAUGAUCAAUUUUAAAACAUUUUCAUUACCCCGAAAAGAAACCCUAUAUCCAUUAGCAAGUACCUGCCAUUUCCUCCUCCCACUAAGCCCUGGCAAUCUACUUUUUUUGAGAUAGAGUCUCUGUCACAGGCUGGAGUUCAGUGGCACAAUCUUGGUUCACUACAACCUCCGCCUCCUGGGUUCAAUCACUUCUCCUGCCUCAGCCUCCUAAGUAGCUAGGAUUACAGGUGUGUGCCACCAUGCCCAGCUAAUUUUUGUAUUUUUAGUAGAGACAGGAUUUCUGUCUUCAUAGAUUUGCCUGUUCUGGACAUUUCAUAUAAAUGGAAUCAUAUAACAUAUGACCUUUUGUGACUGGUUUCUUCCACUUAGUAUAAUAUUCUCACGGUCCAUCCAUGUUGUAGCACGUGUUAGUACUUCAUUCCUUUUGAGGACUGAAUAAUAUUCCAUUGCACGGUCAAGCCAUGUUCUAUUUCUCACUCAUCAGUAGACAAACAUUUGUGUUGUUUUCACUUUAGUGCUAUUAUGAAUAAUGCUGCUAUGAGCAUUUGCAUACAAGUUUCUGCACAGACAUGUAUUUUCAUUUCUUUCAUAAAAUGGAGUGGAAGUGCUGGGUCAUAGAACUCUGUGUUUAACCAUUUGAAGAAGUGCCAGACUGUGUGAGAAAGCCUCUCCUCACCCUGCGAGACUGAGCUCCCUCUCUCCAUUCAUACAUUCCCUUCUUCACGCCCCUUGCUUCUAUUUCCGAGCAAUUCAGGUUGACCUGGGUCACCCGCAACUUAAUGCUCGUAACUCCUCUAGACCCUCAGGGUCCAUACUAAAUAUGAUGAAAGAUGAUGCAAGCCACAUAUUUACUUUUGCAUUUUGUAGUAACCACAUUUUAAAAAGUAAAACAAAAGAAGUGAAGGUAAUUGGAAUAAUAUCACAGAUUUAAACAAAUCUAUCCCAAAUACCAGGUCUACAUGUAUAAAAUAUUUUUAACAUGAACAAAAUACUUUGCAUUCUUUUUAUAUUAAGUCUUCACCAUCUAAUGUGUACUUGACGCUUCCCGCACAUCUCAGUUUGUGCUCGUCAUAUUUCAAAUGCUCAGUUGCCAUAUGUGGCCAAUGCUGCUUUACUGGACAGUACAGGGCUAAACUGUCCACUCCCUGAGGGCAGGAACCAUGCCUGCUUUUGCCCAUUACUUUACUCUCAGUGCCAGUACAGUGUCUAGGAUGCAAGAGGCAUCCUGUGAAUAUUUGCUGAACCUAAAUAAAUGAAUUCGCCCAAACCUCCACUUCUCCAAAAAUAGUUUCAAAAAUUCAGUGUUCAGCUGGGCACACUGAUUCACACCCAUAAUCCCAGCACUUUAGUAGGCCAGGGCAGGAGGAUAGCUUGAAGCCAGGAGUUCAAGACCAGCCUGAGCAACAUAAAGAGAUCCUGUCUCUACCAAAAAAAAAAUUAUUAAAUUAGCUGGGUGUGGGGGCACACAUCUGCAUUCCUACCCACGGAAGGCUGAGAUGGGAGGAUCACUGAGUCCAGGGGUUCAAGGUUACAGAGAACUAUGAUAGCACCACCCGACACCAGCCUGCGUAACACAGUGAGACCCUGUCUCAAAAAAAAAUCAGCAUUCACAUAUAUUCACCUAUUCUUUUUCAGCAAUUUAAAUUUGUUAAGAAAAAGAAACAAGGAACAGAGUGACCAACAGCCUGCAGAGCAACAUGCCCAAGUUUUAUUGUGACUACUGCAAUACAUACCCCGCCCAGGACUCUCCAUCUGUGAGACAGGCACAUCGCAGUGGCAGGAAACACAAAGAGAAUGUGGAAGACUGCUAUCAGAAAUGGAUGGAAGAGUAGGCUCAGAGCCUGACGGACAGAACAACAGCUGCACUGCAACAAGGAUACCUCCUACUCCAUUCUCUGCUCCUCCUCGUGCAGCGACGAAGAUACCACCUUCCCCCCAGUCUUCCAGGUCCUCCUAGCCCCGGUGUGGUGGCAGCACCCCAUAUGGAGGGCCCUCCCGUGAAGGCAAGGAUGGGCCCUCCUCCUCCUGGGAUGAUGCCAGUGGGACCUGCUCCUGGAAUGAGGCCCCCCAUGGGAAGCCACAUGCCCAUGAUGCCUAGGCCCCCAAUGAUGAGACCUCCUGCCUGUCCCAUGAUGGUGCCCACUCGGCCGGGAAUGACUUGACCAGACAGAUAA